This is a small nuclear RNA of Talpa occidentalis (Iberian mole), 104 nucleotides long. NCBI's taxonomy places the organism in Eukaryota, Metazoa, Chordata, Mammalia, Eulipotyphla, Talpidae. The record is from RefSeq and is a predicted model, not a curated record.
GUGUUCUCUCCAGCAGCACAUACACUAAAAUUGGAACUACAGAGAAGAUUAGCAUGGCCCCUGCACAAGAUCACAUGCAAAUUCUUGAAGCGGAGUUUUGAAUU